AUAUACCCCAAGGGAGGAAGGCGGUGCAUGCCGCGCAACCCCCCAGAAGGCUAGCAGAGAGAUACCCAAUUCUUUCAAGGAGGAGGCCCAACAACGGAGCUGAGGGUGUCGGAAAGAGCCCACCUUUCCACCCCCAUGGCACAGAAUAGGUCUCGAAUUCACGCUCUAGCAACCCGCCGAAGCGCAAGGCCGAGACUCUACCACGGGACCACGGGAGCCCCCCUUGCAUUUUUCUUUAAAAGCCUUUUAUUUUGUCUAUUUUAAAUAUUAAUUAUUUUGGAUUAAUAUACUAUGCGGCCCUAUUAAAUUGUAAUUUUUUUUUAAUGUGGCCCUUGCACUGAAAAGUUUGCCCCCCCUGUGUUAAAAGGUUGUUAUGCUCUUACCAAAAUACAUAUGUGCACAAAAUAACCUAAUAUUAACGGUUUGCAAGCGUUACCACCAAGGGAGUAUGAUUUUGUGAUGCAUAAAGUGAAAUCUCUCACGAAACAUCGAAAAGUACAGUGAAGAUGAGGAGGUAAAUGUGCCGUUGGAGACGCGUACGCACUACGCAGUCGCCACAAUAGUAGAGUAGCGCCAAAAUGGAAAUAUAUAACUAGCCCCAUAAAAAAAACACAAGAAGAAGAAAAAAUAAUCUUUGUACGUAUGUACGAUCGUGCAAUGAGGAGGGAGAGACGUUUUCGGGAUCGCCUUGACCCCCUGGCAUUAAAUGACAACGAUCUCAUCCUCAAAUACCGCUUCCCUCGGCAUGCCUUGCAGCAGGUGAUCGAGGAGAUGCAGCCUUACCUGCAAAGGAGGACCCAUAGUGGCCAUGCAAUACCAACCCACACCCAGGUUUUGCUGGCCCUGAGGAUAUUUGCAAGUGGUUCCUUCCAAAAUGUCAUUGGAGACACUGCUGAUAGGGAUGACCAACUCCUCUUCCAGUCAAGAAGAAUGGUACCAGACUGCUAUAUGGCAGUCAAGACCACUUAAUUGAAACCCACACCACCUUUGAGCAGCUCCGCUUUGAUGUUUCAGACGCCACCCCUUAACUUUGCUACAACCUCUCUGACCACGUCAAGAGAGGGUGGGCUUUCAUCGAUGGGUGGGUCAGCAUCCACCACCUGCAACUCAGCAACUGGAAUCUGCCCACUUGUAGGGUCUGCCGUGUACAACUGCUCAAAAUACUCAGCCCAAUGAGCCCUCUGUCCAUCCAUGUCUGACAUGAGGCAUCCAUCAGCUGUUCAGACAGCACUCAUCUGAGAAGGAGGCUCAUAGUGGAGCUCCUUCAGGGCUCGGUAAGCAGGUCUGAGGUCAUUCGCAUUUAAGGGGCGCGCCUAUGGGUCUCCUCCUGUGCAUAUGGUACGUCCAAUAGCUUUGAAAUUGUAGUAUGUUGUUUGUUGAUGAAAAGAAAUGAUAUUCUGCGAAUUUCAUCAAAAUCGGGUGAAGUUUAGGAGAGACUCAAACAAAGCGUGUUUUUCAUUUCUUUUUUUCACAGGCUUUAUUUUUCAGUUAAUCGCUUUGAAAAAAAUACCAUAGAAACUUUGUUUACCUAUUUACAUUUUGUUGGACGUGAAUUUUUGUUUUUUUGUUUUGUCUUCGAAAAAAAAAAUUCCGAUUUUUUGUUACUUAUUAUUUUCUCCACUCUGUGUCCCGUUUUCUUUUGAUAUUUUUGAAAAUCCAUUUCCAACAAAAAAUCGCCCUUUAGUUGUAGUUUAAAAUGAUACCUAACAAAAGUCAUUCAGACGUUUUACCUAUUUUGUGAAAUUAUUUGGAGGUUAAAAAGAUACUUUUCGAGAUAUCGGCUCCUAAAGAUUUUUUUUACAUUUCUCCCUGUCUUGCCAUUUGUAUUUAUCUGAUUGGUAUGAAAUUCUCACAUAUGACUGUAUAUACCUUGUUGACUUACCUCAGAAUGAUAAGGCAUCUGGUCCCCCUUUCUAAGAAAGUAUUACUCACUCACAGGCGAGGGUGUCAGAAGGCGCCACCUUCCUCAUUGUGGCCAGAUAGCGCGAGUGCCGCGGGAGUGCCUUGCUUCUUCGCUACUCUCUUGCUUGUUUUCUGAGGUUUGGCCGCUCCAUAAGCCCUCUUGAUGUUGGUGACUUUUUCUGGUUGCCUUGCACUUGUACAUCAUUUGUCAGGACGUUUUUUUGGCUGGAGAGGAGAGAAAAGUACGACAUACUUUUCCCGUCUGUCUCUCGCUUGGCACUGGCGAGGUGGCACCUCUCUUCCUCCCCUGCCUCUCCGCGCGAAGAAGAGAGGAUGACAGAUGACAAAAUUUAUGAAGAAAUAAAAUAUUCUAAUGCAAUUUUUACGUAUAUACAAAUGAUACCGCAUAUGUUGACAAGAGCAUCUUAUGACGCGCAUGUCCGACUAUUACGCUAAAGCCCCCCCAAGGGGGAGGGGUUUUAAUUUUACGAAAACAAACCUCACCACAUGGUAAUUUAGGGUUUCCCGGCCACGCUGAGCGAAAAACAUGUACUCGUCCGAUUUUAAAUAUAUUCGUCAAAAAAAUACCCUGUAGUCGCCCCCCUUAAAUGGCCCUCGACUUCCUCAGUGAGACCCCUGACACCUCUUGUCUCUCCUCAGGAGAGCUCUAAUCCUACCUGACUCCCAGCAUUUCUUUCAACCUCUAGAGAUGGAACACAGUAUUGUUGCAUCUUGAGAUUCUUCUUGACCUGACAUGAGGCUUGAGUGAUGCAACAACAAGUGUAUGAUCAGUUCCAAAGAACUCAACAUCAGAAAACCCUGAAGUUCUGAAGAAUCCUUUAAAAAGCACUUACAAGUAUGUUGUCAAUUUCCCUAGCUACCCCUCUGACAUUGCUAUACCAAGUCCAGUAGUGCAGCUCUGGUCUCUGGUACCAGGAACCCAAAAUUCUCAACCUCUUAGAUCUUGCAAAAUUCAGGAGGAGAGAGCUGUUGAUGUUCCUGGUACCAGAACCAUGGGGACCAAAUCAUAUCUCAUAACCAACCCUGUCAGUGCCAGUAUAGUAGCAUUGAAGUUAUCCAAGAUUGUAAGUGUGUCCCGGGGAGUUGGGGUACUGUUCUAAUACGAAGUUGUUUUGUGUAGAACAUCUCUUCAGUUUCACACAUCUUGGUAGGAGCGUACACUGCAACAAGAGACAUGAAGCUUAGGGUGUGCUUCAGCCUCACUUGCAUUAUACACUCAUCAACUGGAGUAACCUCAACCACAAAUGGCUGCAGUUGGCUGGGGAUUCCCAUAGCUACCCCUUGAGACAGCAACCAUUGCUCAUGCCAAACCAGUAGUAGGUAAACCCCCCUUUGCUGAUCUCACCACUGACACUGACACAGUAACACUAUAUAGUCUCUUAGCAUUUUAAUAUUGUUCUCCUUAAAAAAGUUUAUAAUGCAUUAUGAUCUCUAAUAGGCUAUACUUGUCCUCCAUAUCAUGUCACUAAACAGGAAUAUUCUUAAUCUUAAAUAGAUCCACAUUUUCACUGCUCUUUACAACAUUUGGUAAUUUAUUAUAUAUGGUAGUCUUUUGGCACAUUUUUUAUAAUCCCUAAAACCAAUGGCUGUGUUUUACCUUGGUUUUAAGAGUCUAUAGCUAUCAGAAAUAUGCUUUACUACAAUAUGUCUGUAAUUGAAAUAGUUGUAAUAAUUUUCUCAAGUAUUCAGGCUUCUCAGUCUUGCCAUGUAUGUUGUUACUCAUAACACAAAUUAUAUAUAAUUAUCCCCUUAACUGGCAUCCAGGGUAGCUCAAUGAGAACUGGUGUAAUUCUUUCAUAUACUGGUAAGUGCAUUAUUAAUCUGGCUGCUUUGUUCAUAAUAAUUUGUAUUUUCUUCAGCUAAUAUUUAGGCAAGUUAUAGUACAGUUACAAUAAUCCAAUCUAUUAAUGACAUGUAGUUAUGUAUAAGCUUCUUAAUGGAAUUUAUAUCUAAGUAUUUCUUUAUGAAAACAAUAUUUUGUAAAUUAAGUCUAAUAUUGAAGCAAUAUAUAUUAGAAUUUGCAGAAAGAAAUCAACUGAGAUGGUAUGGACUUGUCAUGAGGAUGGAAGAGAAAAGAUACCCUGUCAAAUAUUAUCAGUAGAAGCCGAGAGGGAGGAGGCCAAUGGGCAGACCUAGAAAGAGGUGGAGUGAUGGGGUUUGGGAAGCAAUUGAGGCAAGAGGAUCAACGAUAGAGAUGGUGGAGGAAGAAAAACAUUAUGCGGACUGUACCAGAUGGAGAAGUUUUGUGAGGCAUCACAACUGACAGGGCACCAGCCCUACCUUGUGUAUGGUGAGAAGGCUCCUUUUGUAAACACCUGCCUACACCCCACCGGCCAGUUUCAAAUGGGAAUACUAUAGUGUAGGCUGACGGUGUCCUGCAGUACAUAAGGGACCUGAGGCAGCGAAACCUUACCUCAUCAGAUGACACCAGCACACCAGACAUGCACGAGGCUGAUGACGAUCCCCCACUAUAUUAGCAUAGAGGUGCACCAGAUGUAGGACCCACAGGUAGAACUACAACAUGCAGCGUACAUUAACCCUUUCAUUGCGCAUGGUGCGGGACGCGACUAUCCCCUCAGGCACAGUCGGGCAGCCAAAUGGGGGUCUCUUAACCUCUGUAUCUCAAAAACUAUUCAUCACAGCUAAAACCUAAAAACACCAUUGGGAAGAGGAGGUCCAGAUCUAUAGGAGUCGGUUAUGUAUGCCUCUCCUGCAAACGUACAUGCACAUUCAGGGAGUAUUGAAUAUGAACACUUGCUUCAGCAUGUGCAUGAUGAUCAGCCAUUUUGAGGCAAAUGUGGACAUCUCUCCUUGAGGUUCUGGCAAGGUUGUAUUGCCGACUGCAAUGUUUACAACUAUUUGGUCAAAGAAUCAGUCAGGUGAUAGGUGAAGCUAUGCAAAAAUCCCACUAUAGUGGACAAGAACAUCCACCAGUUACUGGUCCGUAGAUUUCCCGUGCUGGGCUGAUAUGAUUUUCCACCAAAUUUAGUGGAGAACCCACUCAAUUGGCAAUCCUGUGUUGUGAGAAAUAGUGUUGGAACACUCCCACGCGUGGGAGAUUUGAGUGCGGCUGGAGCUCGCAGUGAGCGUUUAGCACCACCAGCAAAUGCGCCUACCCCUCGCUGCAAGCGUUUAGCAAUGAAAGGGUUAAUCCCAACCCUGCAGUGGAAGAGCAGAUGAUACUCUGGCAAAGUACACACGUUUGACACCAUGUGAUCUUGAUGAUUAGGGUGGGGUGUGAUGUACUGGUGUAUGCUUGUUUGUGUGCAUGUAAUGAUGAUUUUAACUCUCUAAUACAUGUAUAAGUAUCAAGCUUUUUAAGUGGUUAUUAAUUGUGUGUGUGUGUGUGUGUGUGUGUGUGUGUGUGUGUGUGUGUGUGUUUACUUAGUUGUAGUUUCACAGGGCCUGGGCUUAUGCUUGUGUGGUCCCAUCUCCAUAUUUGUGUUUGUCCAGCUUUUCCUUAAAGUUGUGGACACUCUUCGCUGACACUACAUCCUCACUUGUGUGUGUGUGUAAUUCACCUCUUGGUCUGCUGCAGGUCUCUCGAGACAGCCAGCCGCUCGCCUAUGGAAGGAGCUCAGAGCUGUGACCAAUCUUUGGGUAGGGCUGAAACCACUCACACACAACACACCACGACAAUGAGGUCACAACUCCUCGCCUUACGUUGUGUACCUACUCACUGCUAGGUGAACAGGGGCUACACGUUAAAGAAGAUAAACUCAUCUUAUCUUCACCCGGUCGGGGAAUCGAACCCCAGUCCUUCUGGUUGUGAGGCAGACGCUCUACCCACUGAGCUACUGGGCCGUGUGUGUGUGUGUGUGUGUGUGUACAGAUUGAGAGUGGAGACAAGUUGUACAUGUAUUAAUAACUGGACAUGAGUAACUAGGACAUUUCUUGGUUAGUUGUUGACAUUAGCAGUCUGAAGGAGAUGUAAAGUAGUUUGCCCGCGAAGGUGAGACAGGAGUUAACAAUGAGCCCACAAGCUGCCUUAACAUCCACAGCCAGGGCUACUCAACUGGUGGCCUGCGGUCCAAAUCUGGAGCUUCUGAGUGUUGUAGCUGGACCCCAGACUUUAGGGAUAAAAAAAUAUUAAUUAAUUAAUAUGAAGGUCCUGGCAAUAGAUUCUUGCAGGUGUAUUUCCACAACUGACUGUAGAUCCUACAGUCAGUUGAGGAAAUACAUUUGCAAGAAUCCAUCCACAGACCUUCAUAUUAUCAACUAUAUUUUUUUACUCCUGGAGCCUAGGGUCCAGCUACAAUAUUUAUUUGGACCUCUCCAUUCAUUUGAACUUGUCUAACUGGACCUUUGGUCAUAAUAGUUGAGUAACCCUGCCUCCACAGCAACUAUGUUUACAAACACAAUAAAGAGCAUCAGGACAAGAUUUUUAAUGACUACUACAAAUCUCUCCCGUGUUUCCUGUUUCUUGUCCCCUUUGCCUGACACCACUAAACAUAUUUAGUGCUAGAUUUGAUUUUUUUUUUUUCUAAAAUUUUCAGACUAAAAGGAUCAUCUGUGUUUAACCCUUUCCAUCUGUGACACAGAUAUCGGCAUCACAGUAUGGAAAGGGUCAAGAGGAAAUGGAAGAGGAUUAAUCCUCUUCUAAACCUCUCAAUCCUCCUCUAAAUUCCUCUCAAGGGGAGGUGCCACCUGGUAUUAGUGGAGGGUACAUUCAUUUUGUUUCAAUUGUUCUAAGAUAUUUUUUUCUUUGAAGACUUGGGUAAAUGCAAUAAGAUCUGCAUGUAUCAGCAUAAUAGCUUUUGUGAUUCUGUACGAAAACAAAUUACAAACAAAAUUUAUUACUUGUAAUAAGAGCAGAGCUAAAAACAUUAAUGAGGGCCAGCAUGUUCACUCAAUAUAUACAAUAUUGGGUAGUUUUACUCAAGGCACCACUAAUUAAAAAAUGUCCGUUCAAAUUUUUAUGUCUCACUGUUCCUGUGCAAAAAAAUUUACCAAAAUCACCAUUUGAUGUGUCCCAUAAUUCUACCUUCAAUAAAUCAUAUCAGCAGUGUUUUUCUGUUUAUAAAAAAACUUGACGGACAAUUUUUUUACCAUCCACUCAUCUUUCAGCAGAUGUUUGAGUUUUUUUUAUUAUCUUCACAACUAAUGGAGUUACUAUUCUGCAAAGUACAAAAAAUGCAAUUUUGAGAUAUCGGCUAUUUUGUGUGUAAAUACAGUUAGUGUACAAAGUUAUGAUUUUUAAAGGAUCUUACAGUGGUAAAAUACAACUUAGAUACCUAUGCAGUUAUAUUUAUGAAUGACAAUGAUAUAAAAAAAAUCAUAAUUGGCGCCUGUGUGUGUGUGUGUGUGUGUGUGUGCGCACGCACUAGAAAUCUCCUGGGCUGUAGUGUUCUGUGGAUACCUCCUGUUACUUCUUUGUUACUUUCUUCUCUUUUGGGCUUCUUUUCUUUUCCUAGGUGUCCAAACCUGCCAAAGUACAAGUACAAAUGUACCUCUGAGGAGCGCUCGCAAUGCACUAAGUAACUGAUUGACUGAUUCACUCAACCACACUCUCCGAGGCUUGCUGGCUGCCACUAGAAUUUUGCCAGAUGAAUGAUGACACACUUUUCAUUAAAAAAAAAAUUGGAAAAAUUGGACAAAAGAAGGCAAAAUGUAACAUAUAUGAGUAUUCUACAGAAAACGGAGGUUUCUGCAGGGAGGGAACCACAAAAUUAGUAAUACAAAUCAAAUUAUUUGAAGGGAAAAGAAUUAUCGUACAGCUGCCAAACUUUCACAGGGAACAUGUGACAUGUUCAGCUAUUUUUUGGACUAACUUUUAAAAUUUGGCUGAAAUAGUGAAAAAUACCCAUUUUAGGCAGCAUCUCCCCUUAAUCCUCUUCCAUUUCCUCUUAAGAGGUUUAGAAGAGGACUAACCCUUUCCAUAUGGUGACGCCGACGUCGGUGUCGCUGGAGUGAAGGGGUUAAAUAAUUGAACUUUUACUGUAUGUUUUACAUUCUAGCUCAAUAAUGGAUGACUAAAUGGAUAUCAUCCAGGCAAUAUAUGCACCAACCUGUGGUAUGCAAUAUUUUAAAUUAAUCAAAGUGUAAGAACAAUCUUUAUUAAUAGCCUACUAACAAAAGUUACAAAUAUUUCCAGUAACACUAUCAAUUGAACACCUGUUUCAUAAAAUAUCAGUACAUAUAAAAUAAAUUUCAUAUUAAAAAAAAGUUCUGAGAGAUGUCAAUUAACUUGUGUAAACUUUUUUUUUAUAUUUGUUUUUUUUUCUAGAAAACUAACCCUUUUUACAUUCAUUUAAAAGUGUACUUUAUGAAAGUUUACGGAAUACACAGGCUUUUCUUGCACUGAAUUGAAAUGUGGCUGCACUGAGCAGACCAUGACAGGCCUGUGGAUGGAAGGCAUAGAGAGCCACAAGGUUAACAUUUUCCAGCUUCAAUGGAAAGCAAUCCUACGAAUCCAUAAAUUAUGUGAUAAAAGAACUGCAGUACACUCCAUCUAGCACCCGCUUUAUAUCAUGUAUACUUGCAUGUGUGCAUACAAACACAUCCGUGUAAGCUGCGUACUUAUUUGCAUGAUUUUAUGCACACAUUUGUGCAUACACACAUACAUAUGUUUGUAUGCAAAUAUGUGUGCAUGUGUAACCAAGCAAACACACACACACACACACACACACACACACACACACACACA
Eriocheir sinensis (Chinese mitten crab) is the source of this 8569-nucleotide long non-coding RNA. RefSeq lists it as uncharacterized. The transcript is spliced from 3 exons. NCBI's taxonomy places the organism in Eukaryota, Metazoa, Arthropoda, Malacostraca, Decapoda, Varunidae. The record is from RefSeq and is a predicted model, not a curated record.